GCUGACGGGCAAGAUCACCGACGAGGAAGGGCAGCAGCUCCUCCGGCUCCUGGACCAGCUGUUCAUCGGGGGAGCGGCACAGCCGAUCCUGGACCUGGGCAAGUGGCUGGAGCAGUACAACCAGCGCGA
RNAcentral lists this unclassified non-coding RNA (129 nucleotides) under plant metagenome. RNAcentral's name for it is "partial contains 5.8S ribosomal RNA, internal transcribed spacer 2, and large subunit ribosomal RNA". The record is from RNAcentral.